This 250-nucleotide ribosomal RNA is filed under the name uncultured bacterium. RNAcentral describes it as "partial 16S ribosomal RNA". It matches the Rfam family "Bacterial small subunit ribosomal RNA", at positions 524 to 773 of the family's 1533-position model. The record is from RNAcentral.
CACGGGGGGAGCAAGCGUUGUUCGGAUUCAUUGGGCGUAAAGAGCUCGUAGGUGGCUCUACAAGUCGGGGGUGAAAGACCACAGCUCAACUGUGGAAACGCCUUCGAAACUGUGGAGCUUGAGGCUGGGAGAGGAAAUCGGAAUUCCUGGUGUAGCGGUGAAAUGCGUAGAUAUCAGGAGGAACACCGGUGGCGAAGGCGGAUUUCUGGACCAGUUCUGACACUGAGGAGCGAAAGCCAGGGGAGCAAAC